CCGUGAGAGCGGUAGCCCGGAGAUGGACCCUGAGACAAGGGUCCAGGCCCUACGGGGCGCAGCAGGCGCGAAACCUCCAUAAUGCGCGAAAGCGUGAUGGGGUUAGCCCGAGUGUCGCUCGCUGAAGGCGACUUUUCUUCGGUCUAAAUAGCCGAGGGUAAUAAGGGGAGAGCAAGCCUGGUGUCAGCCGCCGCGGUAAUAUCAGCUCCCCGAGUGGUAAGGACGAUUAUUGGGCCUAAAGCGUCCGUAGCCGGCUUAUAAGUUUCCCGUUAAAUCCGACGAUCUAAUCGUCGGGCUGCGGGAAAUACUGUUAGGCUAGGAGGCGGGAAGGCCGGCAGUACUUUUGGGGUAGGGGUGAAUCCUAUAUCCCAGAAGGACUACCAGUGGCGAAGCGGCCGGCCAGAACGCGCCCGAACGGUGAAGGGCGAA
This 429-nucleotide ribosomal RNA is filed under the name uncultured crenarchaeote. RNAcentral's name for it is "bacterial SSU rRNA". It matches the Rfam family "Archaeal small subunit ribosomal RNA", at positions 274 to 708 of the family's 1478-position model. The record is from RNAcentral. Lineage: Archaea; Thermoproteati; Thermoproteota.